GCCGCCGCCGCCGAUGGCGAAGACGAAGCCUGGCAAGAAGGAUCUGGACUCCUACACAAUCGAAGGCACCGGCAAGGUCGUCCAAGCCGGCGACGUCGUGCUCCUCCGUCCCCCGGACAACAAGACGCCGCCCUACGUGGCGCGCAUCGAGAAGAUUCAGGAAGACCACCGCAGCAACGUGCGAUGCAGGGUGCGCUGGUACUACCGCCCAGAGGAGGCCAAGGGCG
This 227-nucleotide unclassified non-coding RNA is filed under the name Hevea brasiliensis (rubber tree). The record is from RNAcentral. Lineage: Eukaryota; Viridiplantae; Streptophyta; Magnoliopsida; Malpighiales; Euphorbiaceae.